AUUGAACGCUGGCGGCGUGCUUAACACAUGCAAGUCGAUCGGUAACAGGUGUAGCAAUACAUGCUGACGAGAGGCGGACGGGUGAGGAACGCUUGGGAAUCUGCCUAUCAGCGGGGGACAACCCGGGGAAACCCGGGCUAAUACCGCAUACGCUCUACGGAGGAAAGCCGGGGACCGCAAGGCCUGGCACUGAUAGAUGAGCCCAAGUCGGGUUAGCUAGUUGGCGGGGUAACGGCCCACCAAGGCGACGAUCCGUAGCUGGUCUGAGAGGACGAUCGGCCACACCGGAAAUGAGACACGGUCCGGACUCCUACGGGAGGCAGCAGUGGGGAAUAUUGGACAAUGGGCGAAAGCCUGAUCCAGCGACGCCGCGUGGGUGAAGAAGGCCUGCGGGUUGUAAAGCCCUUUCGGUAGGGACGAAAGCUCUCGACCUAACACGUCGGGAGGUUGACUUAACCUACAAAAGAAGCACCGGCUAACUCUGUGCCAGCAGCCGCCGUAA
RNAcentral lists this ribosomal RNA (502 nucleotides) under uncultured bacterium. RNAcentral's name for it is "partial 16S ribosomal RNA". It matches the Rfam family "Bacterial small subunit ribosomal RNA", at positions 29 to 523 of the family's 1533-position model. The record is from RNAcentral.